This is a long non-coding RNA of Poecilia latipinna (sailfin molly), 869 nucleotides long. RefSeq lists it as uncharacterized. NCBI's taxonomy places the organism in Eukaryota, Metazoa, Chordata, Actinopteri, Cyprinodontiformes, Poeciliidae. The transcript is spliced from 3 exons. The record is from RefSeq and is a predicted model, not a curated record.
GGUUAUCACUUGAAGUCACUCUCCUUUUGAUUGCUGUGACUUCUCUAAUCACUUCUGUGAUUGCAAACAUUGCAUUUCUCUGUGACCGAUCUUCCAGGGCAAUGUGCAAACAAUUUACAGGAACAGAAAACACCUCUUUACAAACAAGACAUAACAUGAUCAAGCAAAAUGCAGGCAGAGUCGAGGAUGAAAAUAAUGCCAACUAUGCUGCGUUGAAUUUUUCAGAGAGCAAGGAGAGGAAAACAGGAAGGAAAGCUAUGGAGAUGAACACGGAAGAAAGUGUGUACUCUCAGAUCAAAUUCUGAAUAUGAAUACUUCUCCAUGGAUCUCCCUGAGCAAGGGUUUGUGUAUAUUGUACUGAAAUAAAUAUUAUAAAAAUAUGUUUUUAAAAAAGCCCCAUUCCCCUAAAAUGUAGGGAUAUUCAAUAAAUAUUGUUGCGCAUAUUUAUUUUGUGCAUCAACUUGUAUGUAAGCUUGCAUUUGAGGCUGACGGUAGCGGUAGUAGUUUGUCUUGUCACUGCUGUUGCCACUUUAAACCCUCAACCCAAAUGUCCAAUGUAGGGCAUGUAUUAGAUUCAAAUGAAAUAAGAAACUGGUGAAAACCAGAUGCACUUAUAUUAACAUUCGUCUAGGAUGAAACAAAUAUUAAUUUUAAUGUACAUAUUGUCAAAAUAAGUCAUGUCAAAUAUUCAAUAAUCAAUAGAAAAAUUGUUAAUGGAAUUGCAGUAAUCAAGUUCUUGUAAAUGCUGACCAUCUGUUUGCAUCUAUUCACUGGUAUUUGGAGGCUUUAUCUUUUAUGCUGACCUUGGACUCCUUGAUGUUGAAAGACCCUCUUGAUGUACUUAAGUUUUCAGCAACCUUCUCACAUUG